CGGACGGUGCGAGCAUACGCGACGGUAAAACGUAUUGUGCGAACGUGAUGAGGUAUCAUGGGUAUUAACGGGUGCGUAGGCGGCGAUGCAAGUCAGAUUUGAAAUGCGUGAGCUCAACGGAGGCAUUGCGUUUGAAACUGAAUGGCUAGAGUAUUUCAGGGGUUGGCGGAGCGGCCAGUGGAACGGUGAAAUGUGUUGAGAUUGGCAGGAACACCGGAGGCGAAAGCGGCACACUGGGGAAUAACUGUCGCUGAGGCACGAAAGCCAAGGGAGCGAACGGGAUUAGAUACCCUGGUAGUC
RNAcentral lists this ribosomal RNA (300 nucleotides) under uncultured Spiroplasma sp. RNAcentral describes it as "bacterial SSU rRNA". It matches the Rfam family "Bacterial small subunit ribosomal RNA", at positions 500 to 795 of the family's 1533-position model. Lineage: Bacteria; Bacillati; Mycoplasmatota; Mollicutes; Entomoplasmatales; Spiroplasmataceae. The record is from RNAcentral.